CCUACGGGUGGCAGCAGUGAGGAAUAUUGGUCAAUGGUCGGGAGACUGAACCAGCCAAGCCGCGUGAGGGAGGAAGGUACAGAGUAUCGUAAACCUCUUUUGUCAGGGAACAAAGACUGGGACGCGUCCCCGGAUGAGUGUACCUGAAGAAAAAGCAUCGGCUAACUCCGUGCCAGCAGCCGCGGUAAUACGGAGGAUGCGAGCGUUAUCCGGAUUUAUUGGGUUUAAAGGGUGCGCAGGCGGUCUGUUAAGUCAGCGGGCAAAGCCCGGGGCUCAACCCCGGCCCGCCGUUGAAACUGGCAGUCUCGAGUUGGAGAGAAGUAUGCGGGAUGCGCGGUGUAGCGGUGAAAUGCAUAGAUAUCGCGCAGAACUCCGAUUGCGAAGGCAGCAUGCCGGCUCCACACUGACGCUGAGGCACGAAAGCGUGGGUAUCGAACAGGAUUAGAUACCCGGGUAGUC
RNAcentral lists this ribosomal RNA (459 nucleotides) under uncultured bacterium. RNAcentral's name for it is "partial 16S ribosomal RNA". It matches the Rfam family "Bacterial small subunit ribosomal RNA", at positions 338 to 795 of the family's 1533-position model. The record is from RNAcentral.